RNAcentral lists this ribosomal RNA (254 nucleotides) under uncultured bacterium. Its description in RNAcentral is "partial 16S ribosomal RNA". It matches the Rfam family "Bacterial small subunit ribosomal RNA", at positions 524 to 776 of the family's 1533-position model. The record is from RNAcentral.
CACGUAGGGUGCAAGCGUUGUCCGGAUUCAUUGGGCGUAAAGGGCUAGUAGGCGGCUUAGCAAGUCGGGUGGGAAAACUUCAGGCUCAACCUGGAGCGGCCAUCCGAUACUGCUAUGGCUAGAGUCCGGUAGGGGACCACGGAAUUCCUGGUGUAGCGGUGAAAUGCGCAGAUAUCGGGAGGAACACCAGUGGCGAAGGCGGUUGCCUGGGGCUUUGCUGACGCUGAUGCGCGAAAGCGUGGGGAGCGAUCCGG